UACGUAGGGGGCAAGCGUUGUCCGGAAUCAUUGGGCGUAAAGCGCGUGUAGGCGGCCCGGUAAGUCCGCUGUGAAAGUCCAGGGCUCAACCCUGGGAUGCCGGUGGAUACUGUCGGGCUCGAGUCCGGAAGAGGAGUGUGGAAUUCCUGGUGUAGCGGUGAAAUGCGCAGAUAUCAGGAGGAACACCGGUGGCGAAGGCGGCUUGCUGGGCCAGUUCUGACGCUGAGGAGCGAAAGCGUGGGGAGCGAACAGG
Molecule: ribosomal RNA, 253 nt
Filed under: uncultured bacterium
Lineage: Bacteria
Description: partial 16S ribosomal RNA
Rfam family: Bacterial small subunit ribosomal RNA
Source: RNAcentral